Gossypium arboreum is the source of this 107-nucleotide non-coding RNA. The record is from Rfam. NCBI's taxonomy places the organism in Eukaryota, Viridiplantae, Streptophyta, Magnoliopsida, Malvales, Malvaceae.
AACCCAUUGUGAGGGUACCUUCUCAAUAAAUCUUUGUAUCUCUCCCAUGCAUCAUAUAAAGUCUCUAAAUCGAUCUGAACAAAGGAAGAAAUCUUAUUCCUUAACUU